ACUACCUCCAUCCCAGAAUGGCCGCAUUUUUGUACAGUUUAUGUAUUUAAAAAAUUUUAUGAUUAAUAUUUUUAAUGUUAUUAGAGGAUAAAACAUGAAUAGUACUUUAUAUGAGACUAAUAUUUUUUUAAAAAUAUAUUAUAUUAAAAAUAAGACGGACGGUCAAACAUUGGACACGGAAAUCCACAACUGCACAUAAA
RNAcentral lists this microRNA precursor (200 nucleotides) under Oryza sativa Indica Group (long-grained rice). RNAcentral's name for it is "MIR812 microRNA precursor family". It matches the Rfam family "MIR812 microRNA precursor family". The record is from Rfam by way of RNAcentral. Lineage: Eukaryota; Viridiplantae; Streptophyta; Magnoliopsida; Poales; Poaceae.